GAUGAAGAACGUAGUGAAAUGCGAUAAGUAAUGUGAAUUGCAGAAUUCAGUGAAUCAUCGAAUCUUUGAACGCACAUUGCGCCCCCUGGUAUUCCGGGGGGCAUGCCUGUUCGAGCGUCAUUUCACCACUCAAGCCUCGCUUGGUAUUGGGCAACGCGGUCCGCCGCGUGCCUCAAAUCGACCGGCUGUCUUCUGUCCCCUAAGCGUUGUGGAAACUAUUCGCUAAAGGGUGUUCGGGAGGCUACGCCGUAAAACAACCCCAUUUCUAAGGUUGACCUCGGAUCAGGUAGGGAUACCCGCUGAACUUAAGCAUAUCAAUAAGCGGAGGA
RNAcentral lists this unclassified non-coding RNA (329 nucleotides) under soil metagenome. RNAcentral describes it as "partial contains 5.8S ribosomal RNA, internal transcribed spacer 2, and large subunit ribosomal RNA". The stretch from base 1 to 120 matches the Rfam family "5.8S ribosomal RNA", at positions 35 to 154 of the family's 154-position model. The record is from RNAcentral.